AGCUGACGUCUAUAGUUGUAACAUACCAGAUUUUGGUAUAAAAAUAAAAAUAAAUAAAAAUAGUGUGAGAAGCUAUUUUUAUUGGAUUUGUAGAAGUAAAAUAUGAGUCAGAAGUGACUUAUGCUGAAAUCGGAAUGAAAACAGAAGAUCUAGAAUUUUCUGUUGGAAACGGGACAGAUAAAUUAGCAGAAAAUGCACAGUCUCAGAAAAUUAUGAAAAUUGGCAGAGAUGUCAGAAAUAUUUUCAUGAGGCUAGAUUUAAGGUUUCAUAUUUUUCUGACACCCGUAGAGUGAGAAAUAAAAUCCGAAAGCUAUCUGAUAAAGAUUGCAGUUCGGUACAGUUUUCAGUGACCAAACGGGGUCGAAACUGAACCAGUGAUCGUCAGCUUGUUAAGUUAAGUAAAACCGAACAUGACUGUCAAGUUUGAGCUCAAACGGACACUCAGGGAGCUCCGUCGAAAGUUAUCAGAUUUCAAGCUGCCCGGAAGUGAAUAGUGUCGGGUGUAUUAUAAAGAAGCUGAAGCUUCUUUCUUCCUCUCCUUCAGCCCGAGCACCCACACACGCACGCAUGGUGCUAGUGAGAGAAACCUUCAUUCCUCUCUCUAGAUUUCUCUCUUAUCUCUCCAAAUCUCUCUCUAAUAAUUUGAGGGUUGGUGGAAAGCGAGCUUGCGAACGCAUUGGAGGCGUCGGUUCGGGCUUUCGUGCGGCCGUUGCAACGGUGUGUUUUCGUAGCGGCAUUCACAUUGAGGUAAGCUUUUAGGAUUUGGCUUAAUCCUUAGUUCUAAGUGUUCUAAUAGCCUCUAAUGAGCAUUCUAAACAUGUUUGCUCCAUUUAAUUUAGAUUAUUUGGAGAUUAAUUCAUGUUAGGCUUAGAAAAUGGGGUUUUGUAAAAUAUGAGCGUUUGAUCUCAUUUGACCCUCUGUAAACCAAAUUGCUAGGUAAACGAAUGCGUUGGCGAAGACGGUUCGGCAAUCCGACGAGCCGUUACAAAGUUAUUAAAGAAAUGGACGUUUAGGCUUCGGGUCCGCCGGGAGGGCCGAGGCGACGUCGUAAAAUCAUGGAAAUGGAUUUGAGGCAUCGUGGCACAUAACCGAAGACCUAUAAUUUUCGGGGCUACGAAGCGGAGCACAGUUGAGGCGCAGUUGCAGUAUCGGGCCGUGCCGGAUACGGGUGCCGCGGGAGGCCGAUUGCAAGUGUCGACAAGCAAUCGGAACGCAAAUUAAGGUGGGUUGGUUUACCGAAGCGACUAGGUCGCCUUUAUGUCUAAGAAAAUAUGAUUUCUUAUGAUGCAUAUAGAAAUGAAUGAUAAUGAAUGCAAGCUGAUAAAUGCAUGUUGAUAAAUGCUAGAGAGCAUGCGAAAUAAAGUAUAAAUGCUAAGUUGAUGCAUGUAAAUGAUAUAGAGAUUAUAAAAUGCAUGUUGGUAAAUAAUAUAAAUGAUGCAUGUUAACGAUAGUGCUUAGAGCAAGAUGCUAAGUAGAAAGCAUGAUGUUGAUAACAUGAUACAAACGCCAAGUAGAAUGCAUGAGAUAAGAAUGCUAGAGUAUAAUGAUAAGCAUGAUAUGGAAAUAGUAAAUACAAGUACAUGUUAAGAAUGCUAAGUAAUGCAUAGUGACAUAGUGUAAAUCAUGCUAAGUGACAAGCAUAAAGUAUAUAAUACGUGGUGGCCGUGUUGCAUGCAUAGAAAGGUUAAUGUAAGAAUGCUAAAGAUAAUGUAUGAAUGCAUGUUGCAUGUUAAAGAAUGCCCAGUAAAGGACUUGUGUAUAUGGACUUAAGUGCACCUAUAGAUCGAGUAGCAUUGAAUCUAGUGUCGAGGACAUAGGUUAAACAGAUGUGAUUUGAACCUAAUGUAAAGAACAUAGGUUAAAUAAGAAUGAUGUUAAACCUAAUGUAGAGAACACAGGUCGUGAAAUGAAAGGUGCUUAACCUAGAGUCAAGUGAACCUAGGUUGGAAAGAAUGAUGAUCCUAGUGUAAUAAACCUAGGUUAAGAAUGUGAAAGCAAUAAACCUAAAGUAUUAACUUAGGUUGUGUAAUGGACAAAGAACCUAGAGUCAAGUAGACCUAGGAUGUAAAGGACAAUGGACCUAAGUAGGUCGAUACCAUAGGGUUGUGACUAACCCUCGAGUUACGUGAAAUGGAUUCCGGAAUCCCAAAGCUUGUUGAUAUACCUAGAGUGGUAUCGGGUGUGUGCGACGAUUUCGCCGCCCAAGGGCUAAAGAACCAUUGUCGUGGCGUGUGCGACGAUUUCGCCGCCGGAUGGUUAGCCAGUUUGUGGAUCCUACCACCUGUUGACUGAACCACUGUCGUGGCGUUUGUGCGACGAUUUCGCCGCCGGGUGGCUAAGUCAUGGACCUAGGCCGUUGUUGGGUGAGGUGCGAUUCGUUCGCCGCCAGACGGCUAGGACAGGAGUACGGUGAGCUGUUGCCAGCUGAGGUGCAUGUGAGAGUUCCUUCACCUCGAGCUAGACAGUGCGCGGACUAUCCGCGAUUGAUUGACUCAAGACCGAGUCGGGUGGCAUAGAGAACUAAGGUAAGGGAAACCUUAGGAAAGAAUGGCCAGUGGAAAAGUGCAACAAAGUGUAGAGAAUAAAGAAUAAGUAAAGAAUAAAGAUCGGCUAAGGAAUAAGAAUAGCUGAUAAAGUAAAGAAAGGUUACAAGUAAAGAAUAGCUAAGAGCUAAAAGUAAACAUUAAACGACAAGAGUAAAGAAUGAUUAAGAAUAUAAUUAGCGUUAAAGUAACCUACUUGCAUGAUUACGGGUAUUGCAUAUUGCAUUUCGUGAGGCAUGGCAUGUAUUUCAAUUGAAUAUAUAUAUCUGUUGUAUAUUGUUGAACUAACAUGUUGCAGUGCCUUGUUAGACCUGUUGGUUGAGCUGGUUCUCUUGGGUGGCUAAACCCACUGAGGACUAUGGACAAUAGUCUCACUCCCGUGUUGCUGUUUUGGGGGUACAGGUACACACGUGUGCGGCGCGGCGGCGCAAGGCGAGGGCGUAGUUCUGCAGAUAGCGCCCUACCCCAGAGACCAGAGCUAGCAGUACCCCGUCUACAUAGCUUAGGGGUAAAGAAAAUGAAAAGAACACAAUGUGUCAAUUUGUAAUAAAUAAGUAUUGUAAUAACUUAGAUUGUAUUUGGAGGAAUCAAAUGAGAACUAUGAUGUAGAAAUGUAUGAAUGUGAAUGUAUGUAAUAACAUAGGAUGUGUUUAUGUUGUAUGAUACCUUCCAC
This 3216-nucleotide long non-coding RNA is filed under the name Ananas comosus (pineapple). RNAcentral's name for it is "long non-coding RNA (ACOM_LNC039117)". The record is from RNAcentral. Lineage: Eukaryota; Viridiplantae; Streptophyta; Magnoliopsida; Poales; Bromeliaceae.